This is a long non-coding RNA of Ornithodoros turicata, 952 nucleotides long. RefSeq lists it as uncharacterized. NCBI's taxonomy places the organism in Eukaryota, Metazoa, Arthropoda, Arachnida, Ixodida, Argasidae. The transcript has 3 exons. The record is from RefSeq and is a predicted model, not a curated record.
ACUCGUCAGUCGGUACCCAACGAACGAUACCAACACCAAAACGUUCUUUGAACCUUGAACCCAUUGAACCAGACGACCCAGAGGACACCGCGGGGCCGCGGUUAAAAAAAACACAAAAAAAAUUAGGAGGAGGAGGGUGUGUGGAACUUUUUUUUUUUUCAUUUCGUGUUGGCGCCGCGAGGCAGCUGUGGCCGUGAGCGCCGUGCGGACGUGGAGAGACUAGGAGUGCGGUACGAGAGACAGAGAGAGAGAAAGGGGGGUUAUUAUGUGCCCUGGGACGACUUAGAGGGGAACCGCACCGACAUUCAUCUUGAGACUGGAAAUGACAUUAAAUUCGCCUGGAAGGUCAACCGGAAGACCCAGGGAAGCCUCACACAGUACAGCCAGUCAAACUCACCACCACCCAGGCCUCAGCACAACCUUGGCUACCCAAUAAGCAGACAGCUUUAACCACUCUGCUGGUUGUGUGAUACUAAUGGCGCUGAAAUGACAAAGAGUCCACGUUGGGGGUGCACACGGAAGAAAGGGAGCUGUGUGUGGUGGAGGGAAGUGAACAAACAGCAUAGAAUGCAGCAAGCUCAUCAUCUUCCAUUGCUGGAAAACAUGGCCACGAUAAAAAUGAACUAAGGCUUAACUUCUACAGCGGGCAGUACAACAGCUUACUGCAGACAUUGACGUGAGAGGUGGCAUAAGGUAGCGCUACUCCCAACAAGAAGAAAGGAAGGACCAGCAUCGAAAGACCGUAGAAAUACCAGCAUGUAGCAGAGAAAUGAAACCAUGCCCCCAGUCUAAAAGCAUCUACAUGUGACCAAUCAUUAAUCACUGCUGCAUGAAGAGGAAAGGGUAAUUCAAAGGGUAUGGAUGGAAACAGAGCACUUGGAAUUCAAUUGACAUUUAUUAUUCGAACCAGGCCUUCAUUAAAGCAUAUUUCCUUGCGUACGAUUACAUCACU